Cyanistes caeruleus (blue tit) is the source of this 874-nucleotide long non-coding RNA. RefSeq lists it as uncharacterized. NCBI's taxonomy places the organism in Eukaryota, Metazoa, Chordata, Aves, Passeriformes, Paridae. The record is from RefSeq and is a predicted model, not a curated record.
GGGAUGGAUAACAUUGGAACAGUGAUUUCUGCAAGCAGCACCUAGAAGAGAGAGCUGCUGGCUUUCACAUCAUUAAUGAGGAAGUACUUUCUCCCAGCUUUUUAUUCUUUUACUCCGUCUCUUCUAAGCCAAUGCUUGCUUCCCAAGAACUAGCACGGCCUGAUCCUUACACAGACAAUUAUGACACAGAGAGAGGUUUCAGUCCCCGCAGUGCCAUCUACUGCUGAGAUAAGUUUGAAUGCUGGAUUUAUUAUUUCUUUGGGGGAAAAUUCUCAGGGACCAGCAUCUGCAGGUGGAACACAAGCUCAGGGGGAAAAAAUAAAUGGCUGCAAAAGCCCAGCAAUCUGGCUAAAGUCUCUCUACCCAUACAUAGCUGACACCAAAAGGAAAAAAAUAAAUCCUAAACUAGGAUCCAUCAUUUGUAAUCUUACAUUACUGAAACCAAAUCUUUCUUUGAUCACUCCUCAUUCACUCAAGACAAUUCAUUAUUCAGCCAGUGGGAAUUGUCUCAGCUCCAGUGAAAGCCAGGGAGUUAUACCAGCUGCUAUCCGCUGAACUUCUGGCUCAGAACUGUUAAGAGAAAGCUAUGCAGAUUUGCUUAUUUGUUUUGGAAACAAGGAUAAAUUACUUCUGCCAACCAAACCUACAGCCUUGCUUAUUUCUGAGUGAUGAGAAGUCACUUCACUAUUCUAAGAAUAAUGAUUAAGCAAUAUGGCAAGUGAGGGACAGCUGAGGUAGGUUCUUGGCAUCUCUAGUUUAAGUUUUCAUGGGUGUUGAAGUUCUGGCAUGACUUUACCAAGCUACUUCUAGCAAGGGAAGAGGUGUCUAAGGUAGUCUUUAAGAUUCCCAAAAAUAAGGAAAGAAUACAAAAAUA